CUAAAUUUAUUCAAGUUAUUUCCUAUGAAGAAGGACUUUAAGUCUAAAAGGAUUGUAUGUAUAUUGUCACAUAAAAACAACCACAUAGAGACACAAAACAACCACAUAGAGACACAAAACAACCACAUAGAGACACAAAACAACCACAAAGAGACACAAAACAACCACAUAGAGACACAAAACAACCACAAAGAGACACAAAACAACCACAUAGAGACACAAAACAACCACAUAGACACAAAACAACCACAUAGAGACACAAAACAACCACAUAGAGACACAAAACAACCACAUAGAGACACAAAACAACCACAUAGACACAAAACAACCACAUAGAGACACAAAACAACCACACAGAGACACAAAACAACUACAGAAUGUGGCAGAACAACCUUAGACAAUAAAAACAACUAAAAAGACCAAAACGUUUUUCAAUUACAAGAAAUCAACUUGGCUACAAAGAGAAACAAAUUGACCAGAAAGACACAAAAUAACUAAAACAAAAGCCUUAAACACCUACAAAGUCUGUAUGUAGGUGAGGUGCCCUUUGUUCAUUGUCUCCAAUAAUUGAACCGC
This 576-nucleotide long non-coding RNA is filed under the name Cottoperca gobio. Its description in RNAcentral is "lncRNA (ENSCGOG00000004775.1)". The record is from RNAcentral. Lineage: Eukaryota; Metazoa; Chordata; Actinopteri; Perciformes; Bovichtidae.